This 70-nucleotide transfer RNA is filed under the name Camelus bactrianus (Bactrian camel). It matches the Rfam family "tRNA". Rfam says of the family: Transfer RNA (tRNA) molecules are approximately 80 nucleotides in length. Lineage: Eukaryota; Metazoa; Chordata; Mammalia; Artiodactyla; Camelidae. The record is from Rfam by way of RNAcentral. RNAcentral also lists the same sequence under 3 other names.
GGGUAUAGCUCAGUGGUAGAGUGUGUGCUUAGCAUGCAUAAGGUCCUGGGUUCAGUCCCCAGUACCUCCA